GGAGGAUUGGCUGAGCGGCUUAAAGCGGCGGUCUUGAAAACCGUUGAAGUGAAAGCUUCCGCAGGUUCGAAUCCUGUGUCCUCCGCCA
This 88-nucleotide transfer RNA is filed under the name Clostridiales bacterium. RNAcentral's name for it is "tRNA-Ser". It matches the Rfam family "tRNA". Rfam says of the family: Transfer RNA (tRNA) molecules are approximately 80 nucleotides in length. Their secondary structure includes four short double-helical elements and three loops (D, anti-codon, and T loops). The record is from RNAcentral. Lineage: Bacteria; Bacillati; Bacillota; Clostridia; Eubacteriales.